This 1842-nucleotide small RNA is filed under the name Arabidopsis thaliana (thale cress). RNAcentral describes it as "ATSL097720". Lineage: Eukaryota; Viridiplantae; Streptophyta; Magnoliopsida; Brassicales; Brassicaceae. The record is from RNAcentral.
AUGUUAUCUUAACCUCAUUGGUUUUGAUACAUGAUCAUCAAAUGGGCAUGUGUCUCAUUUGUACUCUUUUUCCCUUGUCAAGUUUUCUCUCAAUGGGUUUUCUUGACAAGGUUUUUAAUGAGGCAAAUGAUUCACAUUCAAAUCACCCAUUUGAUGAUCCAAACCAUGGUAUAACAUUCAGAAGUUGGCCCAAUGGAAUAUAGGGAAAAAUGUCAAUUAAUCUCCCAACUUUCAAAAAAUGGUCAUUUUAUACAUCAACUUCGUAUGCGGCCGUUUAAAACAUGAACUAAACGUUGACUAACUUUUAAAACAUGAUUAUUCGUUGACCAGGCCAAAAUAGAUAUGCCGUUAUCAGUCAUUAACGGAACUUCUAACGUCUGUUAUCAUCCGUUACGACUUUAUUAGUCAAGUUUUAAAUUGUGGCCAUUUUAAACAUCGACUUUAUAUGUGGCCAUUUUAAACAUGAACUAAGCGUUGACUACCAUUUAAAACAUGAGAAAUUCGUUGACCAAGCCAAAAUAAACAUGUUGUCAUCAUUCAUUAAAAGAACUUAUAACAUUCAUUAUCACUUGUUAACGACUCUAUUAGUAUCCCUAAAACGACUUUGUUUUGAGAAUAAUCAAAAGAAAAUCAGGAUUUUUUUCUAAAUGGAACCUCAAUUCCCCAAAUCUAUUUCUACAACCGCUCAAACAAGACGAACAAUCUUAUAAUGAGUCUUCAAUUUGCUUCCAUGAUUCCUUUUAAAAUUUAAAACAAAUAUAUAAACGAAAACACCUUUAUUUGCUUCCAAUUACUGGCACUGCGAUUAUCUCUAUAUCAAACUAUGUUCUUGGGUUCUGCUUAAAACUUUUUGAUAUGGAGAUUUCAUAUGGGAAAAAUCUUUAUGUUCUUUCGAUUAUUCUCAAACGACGUUGUUUUGGACAGAUUAACAGUCAUUAACGGGUUUCUAAGUUCUACUGAUAAAGACAUGUCUAUUUUGGCCUGGUCAACGAAUUUUUCAUGUCUUAAAUGGUAGUCAACGUUUAGUUCAUGUUUUAAAUGGCCACAUAAGAAGUUGGUGUUUAAAAUGGCCACAAUUUGAAACUUGACUAAUAAAGUUAACGGAUGAUAACGGACGUUAGAAGUUCCGUUAAUGACUGAUAACGGCAUGUCUAUUUUUGCCUGGUCAACGAAAGAUCAUGUUUUAAAAAUUAGUCUACAUUUAGUUCAUGUUUUAAACGGCCACAUACGAAGUUGAUGUAUAAAAUGGCCAUUUUUUAAAAGUUGGGGGAUUAAAUGACAUUUUUCCCAUGGAAUAUAUAUGAAGUCCAGCCAAUUUUAUGACCAUCACAAGCCCAAGAAGAGCCCAAACCAAGUGGGUAAUUUGCUGGUCAAGAGGAGUGACGAAAAUAGCAUUUCAAGAGUCAUUUUGGAGCCAAGAAGUGGAAGGGUUAUUUUUAAACUUUCAAACUAGUCUUUAUUUCUUUUUAUUUUCCAAGGUAGUCUUGUGAGUGUGUUCCAAGACUUCCUUCUUCUUUAUAAACUCCUUGUAAUCUCUUAUGAGAACUCAUCUAUCUUUUUAUCAAAAACUCUCUCUUAAAAUAGAUCAUGGAUCCAUUUUCGUAUGUCGAAUUUUGAUCUUUCUCGACUUAUCGAAAGGCUUUUCCGCAUCCUUUUUUGGCGUCAUUCAAUCCAUCAUCUCGUCUUUGAGUUGUGUGUCGUCUCUAUUUCGAGAAUAUCCACUACAAAUCUUCCAAGUGCCGAAAUUGGGAUUAAUUCCUACCAGGAUCAUAUCAUGUGGUAUCAGAGCACACUUGGAGAUUGAGUCGUUUCUGUCUGUCAUCUUGUUUUAAUUUUCAUAAU